RNAcentral lists this ribosomal RNA (484 nucleotides) under uncultured bacterium. RNAcentral describes it as "bacterial SSU rRNA". It matches the Rfam family "Bacterial small subunit ribosomal RNA", at positions 328 to 793 of the family's 1533-position model. The record is from RNAcentral.
CGCUAUCACUCCUACGGGGAGGCAGCAGUAGGGAAUCUUCCACAAUGGACGAAAGUCUGAUGGAGCAACGCCGCGUGAGUGAAGAAGGGUUUACGGCUCGGUAAAAACUCUGUUGUUUAAAGAAGAACAUAUCUGAGAGUAAACUGUUCAGGUAUUGACGGUAUUUAACCAGAAAGCCACGGCUAACUACGUGCCAGCAGCCGCGGUAAUACGUAGGUGGGCAAGCGUUGUCCGGAUUUAUUGGGCGUAAAGCGAGCGCAGGCGGUUUUUAAGGUUCUUGAUGUGAAAGACCUUCGGCUCAACCGAAGAAAGUGCAUCGGAAACUGGGAAACUUGAGUGCAGAAGAGGACAGUGGAACUCCAUGUGUAGCGGUGAAAUGCGUAGAUAUAUGGAAGAACACCAGUGGCGAAGGCGGCUGUCUGGUCUGUAACUGACGCUGAGGCUCGAAAGUAUGGGUAGCAAACAGGAUUAGAUACCCUGGUAG